RNAcentral lists this ribosomal RNA (460 nucleotides) under uncultured bacterium. RNAcentral's name for it is "partial 16S ribosomal RNA". It matches the Rfam family "Bacterial small subunit ribosomal RNA", at positions 338 to 795 of the family's 1533-position model. The record is from RNAcentral.
CCUACGGGGUGCUGCAGUGAGGAAUAUUGGUCAAUGGACGGAAGUCUGAACCAGCCAUGCCGCGUGCAGGAAGACGGCUCUAUGAGUUGUAAACUGCUUUUGUACAAGGGUAAACCUGAAUACGUGUAUUCAGCUGACAGUACUGUACGAAUAAGGAUCGGCUAACUCCGUGCCAGCAGCCGCGGUAAUACGGAGGAUCCAAGCGUUAGCCGGAUUUAUUGGGUGUAACGGGUGCGUAGGCGGAUUGAUAAGUUAGAGGUGAAAUGUCCGAGCUUAACUCGGGAACUGCCUCUAAUACUGUUGAUCUAGAGAGUAGAUGCGGUAGGCGGAAUGUAUGGUGUAGCGGGGAAAUGCUUAGAGAUCAUACAGAACACCGAUUGCGAAGGCAGCUUACCAAUCUAUAUCUGACGUUGAGGCACGAAAGCGUGGGGAGCAAACAGGAUUAGAUACCCUUGUAGUC